GAUGCCGAGCGGUAAUCAGGAGAGUCGGGACUUUUCCUGGUGGGACGGUAGUGUUUCGAGGCCGCGAGGGCCUGUCUGAUAAUAGUUAUACGUUGCAAGUUCUUAGCAACAGCAACCGGGAGCCUGGCCCU
Molecule: long non-coding RNA, 131 nt
Organism: Etheostoma spectabile (orangethroat darter)
Lineage: Eukaryota; Metazoa; Chordata; Actinopteri; Perciformes; Percidae
Exons: 3
Source: RefSeq, a predicted model, not a curated record